Molecule: RNA transcript, 2298 nt
Organism: Gossypium raimondii (Peruvian cotton)
Lineage: Eukaryota; Viridiplantae; Streptophyta; Magnoliopsida; Malvales; Malvaceae
Exons: 8
Source: RefSeq, a predicted model, not a curated record
ACAGUUGGGUGUGGCGGGCGUGUUUUCAAUCUCCUUUAUUUCCAAAUUUUCCCACUAAUAAUCGUCAUUUGAAAAUCCACUUGAAAGAAAGAAAAAAGAACCGGCGAAAGUCAAAAGCCCUGUUACGUAAUGAGGAACCGAAGGGUUGCUCAGGUGUCCACUAGCGACGACGAGGAUGAAGUACCGAUGACUCGCAGACGGUCUCGGUCCGAAGAUAAGAGACCAGAAAGGAAGAGGAAGAAAAUGAAGUUACAAGACGAAGACGAAGAAGAGGAUGAUGAACAGAUGGAAUCCAAUAAGAGGAAGAAGAAGAAAAAGCAAGACGAGGAAGAAGAAGAAGAGCCGGAGGAAGAGGGAAUUCAGGAGGAUGCCAAGCCGAUAGGGAAAGUCGUUAGGGUUUCGGGGAAAGGGAGAGGGAGGAGGAGUCAUUAUGAGAGUUUUGAGUUUGAUGGCAAUCGAUAUGAUCUCGAGGAUCCGGUUCUUUUAGUUCCUGAAGAUACAAAGCAAAAGCCUUAUGUGGCUAUCAUUAAGGACAUUAGUCAGACUAAAGAUGGGAGCAUUAUGGUUACUGGGCAGUGGUUUUAUCGCCCUGAAGAGGCUGAGAAAAAAGGUGGUGGAAGCUGGCCAUUAAAUGAUACAAGAGAACUUUUCUAUAGCUUCCACCGUGAUGAGGUUCCAGCAGAAUCCGUGAUGCACAAGUGUGUGGUUCACUUUGUUCCCAUACACAAGCAAAUUCCAAACCGUAAAGAGCAUCCAGGUUUUAUUGUGCAGAAGGUCUAUGACACAGUGGAACAGAAGCUUUGGAAGCUGACUGAUAAAGAUUAUGAGGAUAAUAAACAGCAUGAGAUUGAUCUUCUUGUUCAGAAAACUUUAUCGCGAUUGGGAGACCUUCCUGACCUUGAGUUUGAUUCUACUGCUGCAGUUUUUGAUCAGGAAGAGCAGUUGAAGGCAAAAAGAACUCUCAGAAAAAAGAACAUUUCACCCCUUGAUGUUACCAGGAAUGAUGAAGGAAGUACCAGGUCUGAUCAAAGUUUGAAAGCUGAAACACCUGGAAGCUGUCCAAGUAAUACCAAUGAAUAUUACACAAUUUUGUCAAAAGCUAAGGUGCUAACUGGAGAAACCCAUCGUGAUAAGUGGAUGACCAGGCUUCUUCAAGGAGUUCAGUACAUGUGUAGUUGUCCUGAUGGCUUGGAACGUGAAAGAGACAUUAAGAGUCCAAGAACUGCUAAUGGAUCUCAAGAGAAGAGUUCAAAUAGUGGCAAAUCUUUUACAUGGCCAGAUGCUGCUGUUCCUGCUAUCACUGCCCUCGAGAAGGCCUCACAUGAUGCACUUUGUUCUGAUUUCCAGAAGUAUAACCAGAAGUUACGGCAGCUUGAGUUCAAUCUGAAGAACAAUGCAUUGCUAGCUCGUCGUUUACUAAAUGGAGAAUUAGAACCUUCAACAAUACUGAACAUGUCGCCAAAUGAGUUAAAGGAGGGUUUAACUGCAGAAGAGACGGCCAAAAAAGAGCCUGAUGAGUCAGAGCGCAUGCAGAUGACUGAUGCUCGGUGCUCAAGAUGCAUGGAAUUUAAAGUUGGUCUAAGGGACAUCAUCCAAGCAGGACAUGGAGACCGUUACCAGUUGGAAUGUGGUGCUUGUGGACAUUCCUGGUAUGCUUCUAGAGACGAGGCUGCUUCACUUACAAUAGAGCCCUCACUGCCAAAGUUGCCGGUAAGGAGUGAUCAGCCACAGCUAAGCCUGAAAAUUCAGAGAAGAAGCUAGUUAGUCUCCGUGAGUCAGAAUCUACAGUGAAGGUAGAGUAGGAAAAUCACUACGGUUAGGAACAAAAUUGACCAUUUGUACAGUUGAAUGGCGAUCUAGUGAUAGUUAAAACCCAGAGUACAUACGCAUAUACAUUACAUCCACACGAAGGUUAGGAUAUAACAUUGAGGUUUCAGCAAAGAAUUAUUAUUGAUCUCUGCUGAAACAAGUCGAAUUAACCAGUAUUAUUUUUACAAGGUACUGAAUAUAUAGUAGCACAAUGUACAAAAAUCAAUUUAGAUCCCCAUUUUGAGCCAUAAGAUUAUUUUCACCAUUUUCUUCUUACCGGUUAUUUUUAAGCAACUUUGCCAAGAAACGCGGCUAGAGCCAUCUGAAGUAAAGGGGUGGCUAACAUAAUGGAGUGGGGUUGCGUAGGUUGGCGCCUACGCCAUCAAUCUUUUUUUGAAAGGAUUAUUAUGGCGGCCAUGUUUUGUAUGGGUGGUUGCCCAGCUGUAGUAGUUAAUGCUACUUUUAUAGCAAGAGAAGAGAUUCCAUUUU